Rhipicephalus sanguineus (brown dog tick) is the source of this 223-nucleotide long non-coding RNA. RefSeq lists it as uncharacterized. The record is from RefSeq and is a predicted model, not a curated record. The transcript has 3 exons. Lineage: Eukaryota; Metazoa; Arthropoda; Arachnida; Ixodida; Ixodidae.
GGGCGACGAGCUUCUAAUUCAAGUUGAAAUAGAAGAUCAGCUAUUUCUCCCUAGAAGAUGGCAGCAGUGCUAAAGAUGCCAUGCACAGAGAGCUCCAGCACAUUGUAUCUAAAAUGGUCGUACAGAAGUACAGCUGGGUUUCUGAGAACAAAUUAGCAUUUAAAAGCCUGGCAAAUGUGCUGCUGUUUCUCCUUGGUGCCAGACGUACCCCGUUCAACACAAC